AUGUUUCCGCAAUCAGGGACGAAUAGCUCAGUAAAACUGCGAUGAUUUAGUCUGGCUGUGUAGAUAACUACGUGAAAAUGUAGCUAAGGGAAGGCAGAAUAAGACGCAGGACUAUCAGUUAGUUGGUAGUGUAAUGGACUACCAAGACAGUGACGGUUGACGGGAAAUUAGGGUUUUGUACCGGAGAGGGAGCCUGAGAGAUUGCUCCCACGUCCAAGGACGGCAGCAGGCGCGAAAAUUGCCCACUCUUUGCAGGAGGCAGUUAUGAGACGUGAAGAUGAGUAUCUUGUAAAGAGGGAUAGGAGAAUUGGAGGGCAAGUUUGGUGCCAGCAGCCGCGGUAAUACCGACUCCAAGAGUGUGUAUGAGAGAUGCUGCAGUUAAAAAGUCCGUAGUCAUAGAAGGGCAAAGAGAGAUGCGAGGUCUCACAGUGCGAUGAUGGAGGAGCCGAUGGGGAACAUAGUAUACCAGGGCGAGAGAUGAAAUGCCAAGACCCCUGGUGGACUGAGCGAGGCGAAGGCGAUGUUCUUGUAGGCAUUCGGUGAUCAAGGACGAAGGCUGGAGUAUCGAAAGUGAUUAGAUACCGCAGUAGUUCCAGCAGUAAAAGAUGCCGACAUGCUCAUUGGACACAGUGGGCAGGGAGAAAUCUUAGAGUUCGGGCUCUGGGGAUAGUAUGCUCGCAAGGGUGAAAAUUAAAGAAAUUGACGGAGCUACACCACAAGGAGUGGAUUGUGCGGCUUAAUUUGACUCAACGCGAGGAAACUUACCAGGGCCAAGUAUUG
This 780-nucleotide ribosomal RNA is filed under the name Vittaforma corneae. Its description in RNAcentral is "SSU rRNA". It matches the Rfam family "Microsporidia small subunit ribosomal RNA", at positions 54 to 867 of the family's 1311-position model. Lineage: Eukaryota; Fungi; Microsporidia; Nosematidae. The record is from RNAcentral.